Lolium perenne is the source of this 425-nucleotide long non-coding RNA. RefSeq lists it as uncharacterized. Lineage: Eukaryota; Viridiplantae; Streptophyta; Magnoliopsida; Poales; Poaceae. The record is from RefSeq and is a predicted model, not a curated record.
CCAUGUAGCAGCUGAGACUCCACCGAGGGCGCCUUCAAUGCUACUUCAGCCGGGAUUCUCGCGUCAAAGAGCCUAGCACUGAGAUCGCUAGGAUGCUCAAGAGAUGACUGCAUACAGAGGAUAGAGAUGUUCAUAUCUUGAUUUUUUCGUUCGCUAUGGUAAUGGCAGUUUGUCAUUUCCAUGUAUUUAUUGAUUAAAUUCAGUUUGCCUCGGCUAACUGAACCAGCAUAGAGUAUUAGCACCUAAGUCCAUUUAAAUUAUUGGACAUGAGCUGACUUAUUUGUAGAGUCACAAUCUUUCCUUUUACUGAAGUUCCAAUAUUUUCCAUUUGAAAUUUUGGCAAAACCUGGCAAUCUUACCCUUGCUUUAAGGGAAAUAUGAAGAAUCUUGUGAAAGCUGAAGGUGUAGAUUCAGUUCAAGCUCAA